This 441-nucleotide ribosomal RNA is filed under the name Weissella confusa. RNAcentral's name for it is "bacterial SSU rRNA". It matches the Rfam family "Bacterial small subunit ribosomal RNA", at positions 338 to 795 of the family's 1533-position model. Lineage: Bacteria; Bacillati; Bacillota; Bacilli; Lactobacillales; Lactobacillaceae. The record is from RNAcentral.
CCUACGGGGGGCAGCAGUGAGGAAUAUUCGGCAAUGGGGGCAACCCUGACCGAGCAACGCCGCGUGGAGGAUGACGGUUUUUGGAUUGUAAACUCCUUUUCUCAGGGAAGAGCGAGGACGGUACCUGAGGAAUAAGUCACGGCUAACUACGUGCCAGCAGCCGCGGUAAUACGUAGGUGGCAAGCGUUAUCCGGAAUUACUGGGCGUAAAGCGCACGCAGGCGGCUGUCCAAGUCUGACGUGAAAGCUCCUGGCUUAACUGGGAGAGGUCGUUGGAAACUAGAUGGCUUGAGGCGAGGAGAGGGGUGUAGAAUUCCCGGUGUAGUGGUGGAAUGCGUAGAUAUCGGGAGGAAUACCAGUGGCGAAAGCGGCACCCUGGCCUUGGCCUGACGCUCAGGUGCGAAAGCGUGGGGAGCGAACGGGAUUAGAUACCCUAGUAGUC